Molecule: long non-coding RNA, 1188 nt
Organism: Vespula pensylvanica (western yellowjacket)
Lineage: Eukaryota; Metazoa; Arthropoda; Insecta; Hymenoptera; Vespidae
Exons: 2
Source: RefSeq, a predicted model, not a curated record
UUCUCUUUUAUAUUUUUUAAUUUUACAAAAAUUCAGUUUUAAUUUUACAGCUAAACAAAUAAAUUGUUAAAAAUUUUCCUUGCGUUAACAGUUUUAAAUGUAAAUCUUUUGUUGCAAUAGAGUCAUUUGCAAUUUAUUUCAAACAUACAUUUCAUGUAUUGUCGGUAUAUUUCUUCAUAAAAGGGUAAUUACAUAAAAAGAUAAUUUCUUAUCGAUUUAGUUUCGCUUUCCGAAUCGAUUCGCUCGAAGGAAGAAAGUAAAAACUUUUUAUAAAUGAUUUUUUCGUCUCGGAUUGUGGUGUCAUUAAGCGAAAGAUCGCUUCGACGAAGCGCUUAUCGCGUUUCGCUAUGCGACGACGAUGACGAUGACGACGACGAUGCGGUAGUUGCACGGUUCGAUGCACCGGUGCUUUACGCUACUUCAUUCACUAGCACGAGGUACCACUUUAAGAAAGGAAGACUAGAAUCGCAUGACAAUUUCCUUAUAGAAUGAAUUUUUAUGAAUGUAAAGCGACGUUUCUCAUACUCUAAAGAAAUAUUGCUUCGUUUUCUAUAAUAACAUUUUUGCCUUGUCUCCUACAUAACUAUCGCUAUUCUCCUAUUAUAUCGCUUGUCUCUUACGUUGAAUCGAACUCAUCAAGACUAAUAAUCCUUUUGGUGAUUUCAACAAUGAAAUUAUAGGAAAUGAUACAUAGAUUUUUAUAUAAUUUGAUUUUUAAGACUAUAUUAUUUUAUUAUUAUAAAAAUUUGUUAUAUUGUAUUAUAUAAAUCAAGACUAAUAAUCCUUUGAGUGAUUUCAAAAAUAAAAUUAUAAGAAAGAAUGCAUAAACUUUUAUAUAAUUUGAAUUUUAGAGAAUAUAUUAUUCUAUUAUUAUAAAACUAUUAUUAUAUUAUGUUAUAAAAGUCAAGACUAAUAAAUCUUUUGAUAACUUCAAAAAUGAAAUUGUAGGAAAGAAUACAUACAUUUGUAUAGUGGAUUGUAUAUAUUGGAUUUAAAAAUCUGUUAUUAUUAUUAUUAUUACAAAACUGUGUAAUAUAUAUACAUGUAUCGUGAGAUCUAGGACUAUUCUUCUCGAAUAUAACUAACCAAAUUUUUAAUGUGCGAAACUGUAUAUGUCGACUUUAUAUCGAUAUUUCUUUAUUAUUUAUUGUUUAACUUGCUCAUAAAAAUGUACAUUCUUAAUUUAUA